CGAACGCGACAGCUCCCUUCGGGGGGCAAGUAGAGCGGCGCACGGGUGAGUAACACGUAGGUAAUCUACCUUCGGAUGGGGAAUAACAACCGGAAACGGUUGCUAAUACCGCAUAAUGCAGCGGCACCUAAUGGUGACAGUUGUUAAAGCGGGGGAUCGUAAGACCCCGCGUCUGAAGAGGAGCCUGCGGCAGAUUAGCUAGUUGGUAAGGUAACGGCUUACCAAGGCGAUGAUCUGUAGCCGGCCUGAGAGGGCGGUCGGCCACACUGACACUGACAUACGGGUCAGACUCCUACGGGAGGCAGCAGUCGGGAAUUUUGGGCAAAGGGCGAAAGCCUGACCCAGCAGCGCCGCGUGAAGGAUGAAAUCCUUCGGGAUGUGAACUUCGCAAGAACGGGAGGAAUAAGUGAGGGUUAAUAUCUCUCGCGAUGACGGUACCGUUUGUAAGCUCCGGCUAACUCCGUGCCAGCAGCCGCGGUAAUACGGGGGGAGCAAGCGUUGUUCGGAUCUACUGGGCGUAAAGGGCGCGUAAGCGGCCACCGCAAGUCGACUGCGAAAUCUCCGGGCUUAACCCGGAAAGGUCAGCCCGAUACUGCGGGGCUAGAGUGCAGAAGGGGCAACUGGAAUUCUCGGUGUAGCGGUGAAAUGCCGUAGAUAUCGAAGAGGAACACCUGCGGCGAA
Molecule: ribosomal RNA, 681 nt
Filed under: uncultured Acidobacteriota bacterium
Lineage: Bacteria; Pseudomonadati; Acidobacteriota
Description: bacterial SSU rRNA
Rfam family: Bacterial small subunit ribosomal RNA
Source: RNAcentral